Molecule: unclassified non-coding RNA, 285 nt
Filed under: plant metagenome
Description: partial contains 5.8S ribosomal RNA, internal transcribed spacer 2, and large subunit ribosomal RNA
Rfam family: 5.8S ribosomal RNA (bases 1-105)
Source: RNAcentral
GAAAUGCGAUAAGUAAUGUGAAUUGCAGAAUUCAGUGAAUCAUCGAAUCUUUGAACGCACAUUGCGCCUAUUAGUAUUCUAGUAGGCAUGCCUGUUCGAGCGUCAUUUCAACCCUCAAGCCCUGGUUGCUUGGUGUUGGGAGCUUGCUGUGAAACGCAACUCCUCAAAGCUAGCUGGCAGAGUCGGGAUGCACUCUAAGCGUAGUAAACUUGAUAGUCUCGCUUCUGCAGUUGUCCCCCCCGUCUUUGACCUCGGAUCAGGUAGGGAUACCCGCUGAACUUAAGC